Molecule: ribosomal RNA, 1433 nt
Filed under: Limosilactobacillus reuteri
Lineage: Bacteria; Bacillati; Bacillota; Bacilli; Lactobacillales; Lactobacillaceae
Description: bacterial SSU rRNA
Rfam family: Bacterial small subunit ribosomal RNA
Source: RNAcentral
AGAGUUUGAUCCUGGCUCAGGAUGAACGCCGGCGGUGUGCCUAAUACAUGCAAGUCGUACGCACUGGCCCAACUGAUUGAUGGUGCUUGCACCUGAUUGACGUUGGAUCACCAGUGAGUGGCGGACGGGUGAGUAACACGUAGGUAACCUGCCCCGGAGCGGGGGAUAACAUUUGGAAACAGAUGCUAAUACCGCAUAACAACAAAAGCCACAUGGCUUUUGUUUGAAAGAUGGCUUUGGCUAUCACUCUGGGAUGGACCUGCGGUGCAUUAGCUAGUUGGUAAGGUAACGGCUUACCAAGGCGAUGAUGCAUAGCCGAGUUGAGAGACUGAUCGGCCACAAUGGAACUGAGACACGGUCCAUACUCCUACGGGAGGCAGCAGUAGGGAAUCUUCCACAAUGGGCGCAAGCCUGAUGGAGCAACACCGCGUGAGUGAAGAAGGGUUUCGGCUCGUAAAGCUCUGUUGUUGGAGAAGAACGUGCGUGAGAGUAACUGUUCACGCAGUGACGGUAUCCAACCAGAAAGUCACGGCUAACUACGUGCCAGCAGCCGCGGUAAUACGUAGGUGGCAAGCGUUAUCCGGAUUUAUUGGGCGUAAAGCGAGCGCAGGCGGUUGCUUAGGUCUGAUGUGAAAGCCUUCGGCUUAACCGAAGAAGUGCAUCGGAAACCGGGCGACUUGAGUGCAGAAGAGGACAGUGGAACUCCAUGUGUAGCGGUGGAAUGCGUAGAUAUAUGGAAGAACACCAGUGGCGAAAGCGGCUGUCUGGUCUGCAACUGACGCUGAGGCUCGAAAGCAUGGGUAGCGAACAGGAUUAGAUACCCUGGUAGUCCAUGCCGUAAACGAUGAGUGCUAGGUGUUGGAGGGUUUCCGCCCUUCAGUGCCGGAGCUAACGCAUUAAGCACUCCGCCUGGGGAGUACGACCGCAAGGUUGAAACUCAAAGGAAUUGACGGGGGCCCGCACAAGCGGUGGAGCAUGUGGUUAAAUUCGAAGCUACGCGAAGAACCUUACCAGGUCUUGACAUCUUGCGCUAACCUUAGAGAUAAGGCGUUCCCUUCGGGGACGCAAUGACAGGUGGUGCAUGGUCGUCGUCAGCUCGUGUCGUGAGAUGUUGGGUUAAGUCCCGCAACGAGCGCAACCCUUGUUACUAGUUGCCAGCAUUAAGUUGGGCACUCUAGUGAGACUGCCGGUGACAAACCGGAGGAAGGUGGGGACGACGUCAGAUCAUCAUGCCCCUUAUGACCUGGGCUACACACGUGCUACAAUGGACGGUACAACGAGUCGCAAGCUCGCGAGAGUAAGCUAAUCUCUUAAAGCCGUUCUCAAUUCGGACUGUAGGCUGCAACUCGCCUACACGAAGUCGGAAUCGCUAGUAAUCGCGGAUCAGCAUGCCGCGGUGAAUACGUUCCCGGGCCUUGUACACACCGCCCGUC